GCCUAAUACAUGCAAGUCGAAACGCAAUUUGUGGGUUUGAAAUGAUAUGAAGAACUGUUCAGAUUUGAUUUUCAACAUUGCAAUGAGUGGCGAACGGGUGAGUAACACGUGGGAAACCUACCUCUUAGCAGGGGAUAACAUUGGAAACAAUGCUAAUACCGUAUAAUAAUUAAAACCGCAUGGUUUUAGUUUAAAAGAUGGUCUUGCUAUCACUAAGAGAUGGUCCCGCGGUGUAUUAGUUAGUUGGUGAGGUAAUGGCUCACCAAGACAAUGAUACAUAGCCGAGUUGAGAGACUGACCGGCCACAAUGGGACUGAGACACGGCCCAUACUCCUACGGGAGGCAGCAGUAGGGAAUCUUCCACAAUGGACGAAAGUCUGAUGGAGCAACGCCGCGUGUGUGAUGAAGGGUUUCGGCUCGUAAAACACUGUUGUAAGAGAAGAAUGACAUUGAGAGUAACUGUUCAAUGUGUGACGGUAUCUUACCAGAAAGGAACGGCUAAAUACGUG
RNAcentral lists this ribosomal RNA (509 nucleotides) under uncultured bacterium. Its description in RNAcentral is "bacterial SSU rRNA". It matches the Rfam family "Bacterial small subunit ribosomal RNA", at positions 46 to 507 of the family's 1533-position model. The record is from RNAcentral.